UACGUAGGGGCCUAGCGUUGUCCGGAUUUAUUGGGCGUAAAGAGCGUGUAGGCGGCCAGAUAGGUCAGCUGUGAAAACUCGAGGCUCAACCUCGAGACGUCGGUUGAAACCAUCUGGCUAGAGUCCGGAAGAGGAGAGUGGAAUUCCCGGUGUAGCGGUGAAAUGCGCAGAUAUCAGGAGGAACACCUGUGGUGUAGACAGCUUACUGGACCAUUUCUGACGCUGAGACGCGAAAGCGUGGGUAGCAAACAGG
RNAcentral lists this ribosomal RNA (253 nucleotides) under uncultured bacterium. RNAcentral describes it as "partial 16S ribosomal RNA". It matches the Rfam family "Bacterial small subunit ribosomal RNA", at positions 524 to 776 of the family's 1533-position model. The record is from RNAcentral.